This 501-nucleotide ribosomal RNA is filed under the name uncultured bacterium. RNAcentral's name for it is "partial 16S ribosomal RNA". It matches the Rfam family "Bacterial small subunit ribosomal RNA", at positions 30 to 523 of the family's 1533-position model. The record is from RNAcentral.
AUUGAACGCUGGCGGCAGGCUUAACACAUGCAAGUCGAGCGGGGGGAGGUAGCUUGCUACCGGACCUAGCGGCGGACGGGUGAGUAAUGCUUAGGAAUCUGCCUAUUAGUGGGGGACAACAUCUCGAAAGGGAUGCUAAUACCGCAUACGUCCUACGAGAGAAAGCAGGGGAUCUUCGGACCUUGCGCUAAUAGAUGAGCCUAAGUCGGAUUAGCUAGUUGGUGGGGUAAAGGCCUACCAAGGCGACGAUCUGUAGCGGGUCUGAGAGGAUGAUCCGCCACACUGGGACUGAGACACGGCCCAGACUCCUACGGGAGGCAGCAGUGGGGAAUAUUGGACAAUGGGGGGAACCCUGAUCCAGCCAUGCCGCGUGUGUGAAGAAGGCCUUAUGGUUGUAAAGCACUUUAAGCGAGGAGGAGGCUACUCUAGUUAAUACCUAGGGAUAGUGGACGUUACUCGCAGAAUAAGCACCGGCUAACUCUGUGCCAGCAGCCGCAGUAA